GGCCCGGCUGCUCGGAACGAGGGGCCCGGGCCGUGCGUGGUCACCGGCCCUGCCCGUGCUCCGCGGGCGCCUGUGUCCGGCGCUGGGCGGUGCGGCUCUUGGGUUAGGGGUUACUGCGGUAGUGCUCGCCUUGAAGGUCUCUUCCAGCCUAAGUGAUGCUGUGAUUGUGUGACUGUUCCAUGCGAGUUCCCGGCUGGGGCGGCGGCCGGGGAGGGGAAGUUUCAGAGCUCGCGAGCCGCAUUUCCCGUUACCGUGAGGGCACCAGAAAACAGCGCCGGGCGGGAAGGGCGGAUUUUGCGCGCCCCGAGGAUCUCCGGGAGGGUUCUGAUCCGCCCCCGGACGUCCCCGUUGUCAAACCAAGCACUGUAAGGUGACAUGAAUAUUGACUCAUUCAGCUGUAGCCGCACCUCGUUCUCAGAGACCGUGGCUCCAUGCUGAGGGGCUGAAAGGAACUGCAGACUAAUGCACUAAUCCCAUCAAACAGGAGUCACAAAACGCAUGCCACCAGAUCCCACUCCACCUGGACUUAUCAGGUUAUGGUGAUUAUGAAAGGUCCUCAGGAACUGGAGAAAGCUAAUUAAUAUGCCUACUUUCAAGAGGGAAAGGAAGGAUAUCCAGAGAACUGUACACAGGACAGUUUCAUCUCUGUUCCUGGGAAGAUUAUGAAAUAAAUCUUCCGCGAAGCAAUUGUUAGGCACAGCAAGCAUCAUUCCUGGGCUAUGGGGGUCCCAGCAUCCUGAGCAGGAAGACCAUGGCUGUGAGAGUGAUAAACUCCCAGUUGACCCUGAACUUGUGUGGCGUUUGCUGCUCCAGCUGGAUCCUUCUAAAUCUGUGGGGCCUGAUGGGAUUCAUCUGAGAAUACUCAAAGAGCUGGCUGAUGUCAUCACAAGACCUCUCUAGAUGAGUUUUGAAUGGUCUUGGGAAUCUGGAGAGGUCCCAGUUGACUGGAAGCUGGAGAAAAUUGUCCCAGUUUUCAAGAAGGGCAAGAAAAAUGACCCUGGAAAUUCCAGGUCUGUCAGUCUCAUUUUGAUGACUGGUAAAAUUAUGGAGAAGAUUAUUCUGGGAGGUAUUGGAAAUCACCUGAAAGACAACACAGUCAUUGGUAACAGCCAACACAGCUUCAUGAAAGUCCUGUUUGUCACACCUGAUUUCCUUUUAUGACAAAGUAACCCAUCCAGCUGAUGAAAGGAAGUCAUCUGAUGUGAUCUUUUGGGAUUUCACUAAAGCUUUCUGUACUGUCUUUAUUAGUAUCCCUCUGAACAAAAUUACUCAGCUGGAUAAACACAUCAUAUGAUGGGAGGAUCACUUUUGCUGUUGCUUUCUCCAGCUCUAGUGGGGAAGGGCCUGGAGACCUAUCCUGUUCUGAGACCCAAGAGGAUGCAGUACUUUUCUAUCCAUUUUAAGGGCUCUGCAGCAAUACCUAGGUGCUGUUUUGGAAAUCUUACCUCUUACUCUCUGGAUUGGUGGCUGUGUUCUUCUCCAAGGGCUAAUAGAGAAAAAUUAUACCAGGUUGAGGAUCCAGUUCCCCAGCAACCCUGUAUCUCCUGGUUGUCUUUAUGGAAUGAGCUUGGAUGGAAUGGAUGCACUUGGAGAAAAGUCAAAUGGUAGCAAAAAUGUAGUUGGCAUCUACACAAAGAAUCUACUGUAGCUGCUUGCUAAGUCUCACUUCAGUGCCUGGAAAAUCGUGGAGGAGGUCAUUCUGGGAGUUAGUGAAAAACAUCGCAGUCAUCAGUCACAGCCAGUACGGGUUUAUGAGGGGGAAGUCCUGCUUAUCAAACCUGGUUUCCUUUCAUAACAAGGUAGCCCACCCAACUGAUCAAGGGAAGCCAGUUGAUGUGAUCAUUUUUGAUUUCAGUAAGGCUUUUGAUACUGUCUCUCACAGGAUCUUUCAGGACAAAAUGUCCAGUGCACAGCUGGAUAAACACAACAUGCAACAGGUAAGCAGCCGGCCCAGGGGUCAGGCACAAAGGGUUAUAGUGAAUGGGGUGACAUCAGACUAGGGACAUCUUCAUAAAUGCCUUGGAUGCAGGACUCAAAAAAGUGCUAAGUGUGCAGGUGAUAGGAAGUUGGGAUUUUAAGGAAGGCAAAGCCAGAUCCUGCACCUUGGAAGGGUCAACUGUAGAUGUGCAUAAAAACUGGAAAAUGAGACGCUGGAGAGCAGCACUUUGGAGAGAGAUCUGAGGAUCCUGGUCAAUGGCAAAUUGAAUCUGAGUCAGUGGUGCCCUGGCAGCCAGGAGGGCCAACCGUGUCCUGGGGGGCAUCAGGCACAGCAUCAUCAGCUAGGCAAGGGAGGGGAUUGUCCGGCUCUGCUCUGAACUGGGGUGGCCUUACCUCAAGUCCUGUGUGCAGUUUUGAACACA
Molecule: long non-coding RNA, 2360 nt
Organism: Corvus hawaiiensis (hawaiian crow)
Lineage: Eukaryota; Metazoa; Chordata; Aves; Passeriformes; Corvidae
Exons: 6
Source: RefSeq, a predicted model, not a curated record